Molecule: ribosomal RNA, 277 nt
Filed under: uncultured bacterium
Lineage: Bacteria
Description: partial 16S ribosomal RNA
Rfam family: Bacterial small subunit ribosomal RNA
Source: RNAcentral
GGUGAACGCUGGCGGCGUGCUUAAGACAUGCGAGUCGAACGCACCUCCUUCUGGGGGUGAGUGGCGCACGGGUGAGUAACGCGUAACUGACGUACCUGAAAGACCCGAAUAACGCCUUGAAAGAGGCGCUAAUGUGGGAUGUGCAGUCCUCCUGUGGGAGGACUGUAAAGAUUGAUCGCUUUCAGAUCGGGUUGCGUUCCAUCAGCUAGAUGGUGGGGUAAAGGCCUACCAUGGCGAUGACGGAUCGCCGGCCUGAGAGGGUGGCCGGCCACAGGGG